CCGGACACUCUAGCAGGGUUGCACCGCAAAGCAGCCCUGCCCCACUACCCC
RNAcentral lists this non-coding RNA (51 nucleotides) under unclassified sequences. RNAcentral describes it as "RAGATH-5 RNA". It matches the Rfam family "RAGATH-5 RNA". The record is from RNAcentral.